UACGGAGGGGGCUAGCGUUGUCCGAAGUUACUGGGCGUAAAGCGCGCGUAGGCGGGUUGGUAAGUCCGCUGUGAAAGCCCGGAGCUCAACUCCGGAGGGUCGGUGGAUACUGCCAGUCUUGAAGGUGCUAGGGGGAGAUGGAAUUACCGGUGUAGCGGUGAAAUGCGUAGAUAUCGGUAGGAACACCUGUGGCGAAGGCGGCCGACUGGGCCGACCCUGACGCUGAGGCGCGAAGGCGUGGGGAGCGAACGGG
This 253-nucleotide ribosomal RNA is filed under the name uncultured bacterium. RNAcentral describes it as "partial 16S ribosomal RNA". It matches the Rfam family "Bacterial small subunit ribosomal RNA", at positions 524 to 776 of the family's 1533-position model. The record is from RNAcentral.